CGAAGGGCAGUCAUACAAUAUAUACAUACACAGUCAGAGAAUACUUCCUUGAUAGUUAGAUGACGCUGCUACAGCGCCACCUAUUGGCCAAAUGGUACCAAAUUUGUUAUGUUCACUAAGACAGCAUACCUACACAUGUCUACCAAAUGUGGUUGCAAUAGCACAGAAUUUUCAGGAGAUAUGACAUUUUUUGUUAUAUAUGCCAUGCCUACAGCAUUUGAGCUAGUUUGAGGGCCAGCUAUAACAAAAUUGUAUGGAACAUUAAAAAUCCGAAAGGUCACUUUUUCCGGCUUGGUCCAGAGAGGCUCUGCACCAAAUUUGGUGACAAUUGCUCCAAAUAUGUAGGGGUAGCAAAAAAACUGAUUUGGACAAAAUUUAAAAUGGCGAAAAAAGGUUUUGUUUUUUUCUUGGACUUGCAGUUCAUAAGUUACAGGCCCAAACGUUAAGUUAAUUUUAUAGCGCCACCAUUUGUUCAAAUUGCACAACAUUCAACACAGCACUCCAUUGGGUCCUGAGCAAUACACCCGCCAUGUGUGAAGUCGAUCAGAUGAACGGUUCACAAGAUACUGUAUGUGAAUAACACACUGAGGGACGGACAUACAGAGAUUCCUUGAUUUCUAGUUAGAUAAUUAUGAGUUGCACCUUCUAAAAAGUCUUUGCAAUGUAUUAUGUGUGAGCAAACAUUUCAGAGACAUAGAAACAUAAAUGUAACUUAAAAACUGUAUUUGCACGUUGUCACUCUGCACCUCCUGCAGAUGAAAGGUGGUUUUCUGGACACAAAAUGGUACCAUAGUACUCUAGCGACUGCUUUGUUUUUCAAAUGAGCUCCUCUCAUUCAUUCAGUGUGAUCAAAUGAAAAUGAAUGAGCUGAUUUGAAUGCUUGUUAUUUAUUCUGCAGGGUGCCACAGCUGCUUUGACACUCUUGGUCUCAGAGUUAUCCAAAUAGAAUCUGUUAGUCACACCUAAAUGCAUGCCUCGUUUCACCAAUAGUUCUGUGAAUUCAGAAUGAUUUUUUUUUUGAUAUUCUAUCACUCUUCUUCUUGAAAUAUAGUUGUAUCUUCUAUUGAAAUUAGUGAGAUACAGUAAAGGGGAAGCAUCUUGUUUUUUUUAGUUGAUAGGGUUCAAAAAGUGAACGUUGCCAUUAAAUUCAAAGUGUGACAAAACGUCUUUUAAAAUAUGUUCACCGCAUCACUUCGAACUGUAAAUAUAUUUAAGCAUUGCUAGUUGUUGCAUGAAAAAUGAAAUAUUAUACAUUAUACUCUUUACCGAAAAGAAAAAGGUCCUUAGUGGACAUGCAGUGUUGACACAAUACGUAAUUUUGUUAUGUCAUUGUGUGUUAAUAUACAGCAAAUUAAAAAUUAACACUUAAAUCUAAUGGAGGCCACGUGGCUUUAGACUCUAAAUGUCAAGAUGUGACUGAAUGAACUGAACUCAUCAGCAUCAGGAGUUCACACUACAUUCACAGCCGUAAAACUUGCUUUGUAGGAAGAGUUUGUCACCUUCUUGUUUUAAUAAGGAAGGAGAAGAAGGAGAAGAAGAAGAAGCCUUAUGGUACCAACCUAAAUUGGUAGAAUUAAGGAAGUUUUUAGUUCCCCUGCUAAUUCAGAGAUAUAUAGAAAGCCUGCAUUUUUCAACCACCUUUGGCAAUUUGCUUCCAGUAGCUCAACAACUCCCCUGCGGAGACCUUUACAGCUCAUCACUGGAUGUUGUACGGACGGCAACGCUCAGAAGAAAUGGUGAGCGAAGACGAUUACGAAAUUUGAAUACUGCCACAGGAGUUACAGAGUGUGGACAUCAACCUGCAGUCAUUCUGGUCAAACUGAUGUUCUGCCGAGGAGGAGUGCAACACUUCCUGUUGCGACGUAGCCUGUAUCCUGUUUUCCACAGUCAGUGGUCAUGCGUGUCAUUCCCCUCCGCGAGGCUGUGUUGGCACAAUCUCGUGACCCUGAAAUCUUAUGAGACUGAAUCUAGGGAGACUCCACAUGUCUAAGAAAAACUCUGAAUGUCAGCAAAAAAAAUGUAUAACAGCACAAUAAAUAUAUCCAGGACUGUUG
This is a long non-coding RNA of Sebastes umbrosus (honeycomb rockfish), 2054 nucleotides long. RefSeq lists it as uncharacterized. The record is from RefSeq and is a predicted model, not a curated record. Lineage: Eukaryota; Metazoa; Chordata; Actinopteri; Perciformes; Sebastidae. The transcript has 2 exons.